This 510-nucleotide ribosomal RNA is filed under the name uncultured bacterium. Its description in RNAcentral is "partial 16S ribosomal RNA". It matches the Rfam family "Bacterial small subunit ribosomal RNA", at positions 28 to 507 of the family's 1533-position model. The record is from RNAcentral.
GACGAACGCUGGCGGCGGGCUUAACACAUGCAAGUCGAACGAAGAGCUAGGGACUCGCGCUGCACUCAAGCUUAGUGGCUGACGAGGUGGCCAUGCGUAAUGAACCUCCCCUUCAGAGGGGGACAAAAACUGGAAACGACUGCUGGGACCAAGUACGAUCGACUCUCGGCAGCCAGGAUAUGGGAAAGGUGGCUGCUACGUGUAAGCUCUAACUAAAGGAGGGGCCUGAGUCUGAUUAGCUAGUUGGUGGGCUAACGGGGCACCGAGGCGAUGAGCAGUAGCCGGCUUGCAAGGAUGCACUGCCAAACUGGGACGGAGAGACGGCCCGCACUCCUACGGGAGGCAGCAGUGGGGAAUCUUCCGCGAUGGACGAAAGUGUGAAGGAGAAACACCGGGUGAGUGAUGAAGGCCGCCAGGUUGUAAAGCUCUGUUAAUCGGGAGGAAAGGACUUCUUGCGAAUAGGGAGAAGGAUUGACGGUACCGGCAUAGAAAGCCACGGCUAACUCCGUG